CCCUAUUAUUUUAGAACGUUAAUUUUUGUUUGUCUGAGUAGUAUUAGUUAUGUUCUUGAAACUUAAAGAAUUUGGCGGUAUCUUAUUCCAUCCAGAGGAAUCUGUCUCGUUAUCGAUAGUCCACGUUGGACCUUACUUAGAUUGCUAUAGGUUUGUAUACCGCCGUUUAUUGAUUAUCUUUUUAGAGUAGUUUUAAUUUUCUAGUUUCUUUAUUUUGAUUUAUUUCAGGUCAAGGUGCAGCUUGUUUCUAAGUGAAUGAUGGAUUACAUUGUUAUUUGUUUUAAAUUGGAUUGUUAAUUUGAAUGUUAAUAUGAAAUUGGAUUUGGUUGUAAUGUUUUGUAGAUUGUUUACAUGGUAUUUGGUUCUGGGAUAUGUACACAUCGCCCGUCGCUCUCGUUUGUUUUAAUGAGAUAAGUC
This 417-nucleotide ribosomal RNA is filed under the name Astalotermes quietus. RNAcentral's name for it is "partial 12S ribosomal RNA". Lineage: Eukaryota; Metazoa; Arthropoda; Insecta; Blattodea; Termitidae. The record is from RNAcentral.